This 414-nucleotide ribosomal RNA is filed under the name Staphylococcus lloydii. Its description in RNAcentral is "partial 23S ribosomal RNA". It matches the Rfam family "Bacterial large subunit ribosomal RNA", at positions 969 to 1388 of the family's 2925-position model. The record is from RNAcentral. Lineage: Bacteria; Bacillati; Bacillota; Bacilli; Caryophanales; Staphylococcaceae.
AAUUUAACUUGGGAGUCAGAACAUGGGUGAUAAGGUCCGUGUUCGAAAGGGAAACAGCCCAGACCACCAGCUAAGGUCCCAAAAUAUAUGUUAAGUGGAAAAGGAUGUGGCGUUGCCCAGACAACUAGGAUGUUGGCUUAGAAGCAGCCAUCAUUUAAAGAGUGCGUAAUAGCUCACUAGUCGAGUGACACUGCGCCGAAAAUGUACCGGGGCUAAACAUAUUACCGAAGCUGUGGAUUGUCCGUAGGACAAUGGUAGGAGAGCGUUCUAAGGGCGUUGAAGCAUGAUCGCAAGGACAUGUGGAGCGCUUAGAAGUGAGAAUGCCGGUGUGAGUAGCGAAAGACGGGUGAGAAUCCCGUCCACCGAUUGACUAAGGUUUCCAGAGGAAGGCUCGUCCGCUCUGGGUUAGUCGGG